GAAAUGCGAUACCUGGUGUGAAUUGCAGAAUCCCGCGAACCAUCGAGUCUUUGAACGCAAGUUGCGCCCGAGGCCACCUGGCUGAGGGCACGCCUGCCUAGGCGUCACACCAAAUACGCUCCAACACCCUCAUCGGGCAGUGGGAUGCGGCUUGUGGCCCCUCGUCAUGCAAGAGGCGGUGGGCCGAAGAUGUGGCUGCCGGCGUAUCGUGCCGGACACAGCGUGUGGUGGGUGAACUCGCUUUACUUACCGCAGUGCAUCCGACGCGUAGCUGACGUGAUGGCCUUGAUGGACCCUAUAAACGGAGCGCAUGACGCUUCGACCGCGACCCCAGGUCAGGCGGGACUACCCGCUGAGUUUAA
Molecule: unclassified non-coding RNA, 362 nt
Filed under: uncultured fungus
Lineage: Eukaryota; Fungi
Description: sequence contains ITS1
Rfam family: 5.8S ribosomal RNA (bases 1-107)
Source: RNAcentral